CAGGCAUGGUCAUUCUGCAGAUGGGGAAACUGAGACUCAGAGAGCUCCUGAUUCAGGCACUACCAGGCCGUUCAGGUGUCUUCGCUCAUUCAUGCAGCAACUUCAAGCACCUACUAUGUGCAGGGGGACACAGAGGUAACAAAAGACAACACAGUCCUUGCUCUCAAGGAUCCAGCAGUGAUCCCAAGGACAACAACACACGCCAGUUCAGGUCUAUGUCCCUGUAAUAAGAACUGAGGCUUCCAGGGUGCCUUGCAUUCUAGCCAGCCAUGUUCCAGGGAGCAGGGAGCUCCUUGAACCAGAAGUCCUGAGAUUGAGUCCUGGGACUGCAACCCUGUAACUGCACCAGACCAAUCUGAUUCAACUUUUAUGUAACGAAGUUGUGAGUUGUUUUCAGUUGCCAUGGACCUCCAGGUUCAGGUUCACACAACCUGGGCAUGCCCAGAUACACCAAGCAUGCAGCCAGGGACAGAACCUAAGUGCUAGGGCCAGGAAGUGGGGACUAAAUUAAGAAGUGGACACUGCAUGAUCCAGGAUCCAAUCAGAUUGAGCCCUGGCCUCACCCAAUGGCAGGAUCCAAUCAGAUCACACCUCCUGACAUCACCUGAUGGGAAGAGCCAAUCAGAUAUUACCCUAUGCUUAUAAAACCUGACCUAGCCUUCAGCUGGGAGACAAAUUUGAGUGUUUCCUUCUGUCUCUUUGCCAUUGAACUCACAAUAAACCCUUCUCGCUGCAAAAACUCAGUGCCUUGGUGUUUGGCUUUCUGCUGCAUGUGGGCAAUAGACCCAGUUGGGUUCAGUGACUGAGCUAGUUGGCAGGGAGCUUAGCACGAGAUGCAGUGCUCAGGACUCCACUCAGUGAGUUCCCUGGGAAUGCAUCCUUCAUUGUCGGAUUUUCCAGGGAGGAAACUGAAGCUCACUGUGAUGAAGGGGAGACCCAUGGUCACAGCUGGUGGGUGGAGGAGUGAGAUCCAACCCAGGCGUGUGGCACCAAAACGUUCUUGCUAGAACCAUGACAACAGCGUCAACAACAACAAAUAACAGUGACUGGGUGUGUGCCCUGUGCCAGGCAUUGUUCUGAAUGCUCCAUGGGAACCACCCUGACCACCCCAUGAGGGGAGUGCCCUUUCAGAGCUCAUCUUGCAAAUGAGAAAACUGAGGCUAGCAAGCAGUCAUAUGGGCAUGGGGACCCAGGAGGCCUGCCUGUAGGAGCUGAGAGCUCACCACUGCACCACGCUGUUUAGUGGGCCAAUCUGUCCUCUGACCCCAGCUGACAGGCUUCCCUAGGUUCUGGCGGUGAGAGGUAUGUUGGUUUCUAUGAUGUGUAACAAAUUAUCACAAACCUAGUGGCUUCCACAACACCCAUUCAUGAUCUGUUUUAAUGGAUCACGAGUCUGGUGCGUUCUAGCCAGUCCUCUGCCCAGCGCCUGAGAAGGCUGCAGUCAAGGUGGUGGUUGGGCUGCAUUCUUAUCUGGAGGCUCAACUGGGAAAAAUCCGCUUUCAAGCUCCCUCUGGUUGAUGGCAGGAUUCAUUUCCCUGCAGCUAUAGGACUGAGGUCCCUGUUUUCUGGCCAGCUGUUAGCUGAGAUUGCUGUCACUUUGUGGAGACCACUCACAGGUCCUUACCACAUGAUCCCUCCUGGGGCCCUUUCUCACUUCCAAUCUCUGACUUCAAGAAAGACUCAAUUCCUUUUAAGAGCUCACCUGCUUAAGCCACGCCAACCCAGACCAUCUCCCUUUUGAGGAACCCCAAGUCAACUAAGUAG
Long non-coding RNA from Callithrix jacchus (white-tufted-ear marmoset), 1764 nucleotides. NCBI's taxonomy places the organism in Eukaryota, Metazoa, Chordata, Mammalia, Primates, Cebidae. The record is from Ensembl.